UAAGAGGUCCCGCCUGCCCUGUGACUCUAUGUUUAACGGCCGCGGUAUACUGACCGUGCGAAGGUAGCGCAAUCACUUGUCUUUUAAAUGGAGACCUGUAUGAAUGGCAUAACGAGGGCUUAACUGUCUCCUCUUUCAAGUCAAUGAAAUUGAUCUCCCCGUGCAGAAGCGGGGCUACACCCAUAAGACGAGAAGACCCUAUGGAGCUUUAGACACCAAGGCGGCUCAUGUUACUAAACACCAAAAUAAAGGACCAAACAACAGGACCUUCCGCCCUAAUGUCUUUGGUUGGGGCGACCGCGGGGUAACACAAAACCCCCGCGUGGAACGAGAGGACUCCCCUCUUACAAUUAAGAGCUUCAGCUCUAAAAAACAGAAUUUCUGACCUAUAAGAUCCGGCAACGCCGAUCAACGGAACGAGUUACCCUAGGGAUAACAGCGCAAUCCCCUUUUAGAGCCCAUAUCGACAAGGGGGUUUACGACCUCGAUGUUGGAUCAGGACAUCCUAAUGGUGCAGCCGCUAUUAAGGGUUCGUUUGUUCAACG
This 545-nucleotide ribosomal RNA is filed under the name Lopholatilus chamaeleonticeps (great northern tilefish). Its description in RNAcentral is "partial 16S large subunit ribosomal RNA". It matches the Rfam family "Bacterial large subunit ribosomal RNA", at positions 1846 to 2586 of the family's 2925-position model. Lineage: Eukaryota; Metazoa; Chordata; Actinopteri; Malacanthidae. The record is from RNAcentral.